GACGAACGCUGGCGGCGUGCUUAACACAUGCAAGUCGAACGAAGUGGCGAACGGGUGAGUAACGCGUAAUCACCCUGCCCUUCAGAGGGGGACAACAGUUGGAAACGACUGCUAAUACCGCAUACUGAUGCAUGGGAUUGCGUCUGAUUUGCUAGUUGGAGGGGCAACGGCCAACCAAGGCGAGGAUCAGUAGGCGGCCUGCGAGGAUGAACGGCCAAAUUGGGACUGAGAGACGGGCCAGACUCCUACGGAAGGCAGCAGUGGGGAAUCUUCCGCAAUGGACGAAAGUCUGACGGAGCAACGCCGCGUGAGUGAUGACGGCCUUCGGGUUGUAAAGCUCUGUUAAUCGGGACGCGGUACCGGAAUAGAAAGCCACGGCUAACUACGUGCCAGCAGCCGCGGUAAUAC
RNAcentral lists this ribosomal RNA (408 nucleotides) under uncultured bacterium. RNAcentral's name for it is "partial 16S ribosomal RNA". It matches the Rfam family "Bacterial small subunit ribosomal RNA", at positions 28 to 526 of the family's 1533-position model. The record is from RNAcentral.